AGAGUUUGAUCAUGGCUCAGAUUGAACGCUGGCGGCAGGCUUAACACAUGCAAGUCGAGCGGGGAAAUGUAGCUUGCUACAUUACCUAGCGGCGGACGGGUGAGUAAUGCUUAGGAAUCUGCCUAUUAGUGGGGGACAACAUUUCGAAAGGAAUGCUAAUACCGCAUACGCCCUACGGGGGAAAGCAGGGGAUCUUCGGACCUUGCGCUAAUAGAUGAGCCUAAGUCGGAUUAGCUAGUUGGUGGGGUAAAGGCCUACCAAGGCGACGAUCUGUAGCGGGUCUGAGAGGAUGAUCCGCCACACUGGGACUGAGACACGGCCCAGACUCCUACGGGAGGCAGCAGUGGGGAAUAUUGGACAAUGGGGGGAACCCUGAUCCAGCCAUGCCGCGUGUGUGAAGAAGGCCUUUUGGUUGUAAAGCACUUUAAGCGAGGAGGAGGCUACCUAGAUUAAUACUCUGGGAUAGUGGACGUUACUCGCAGAAUAAGCACCGGCUAACUCUGUGCCAGCAGCCGCGGUAAUACAGAGGGUGCAAGCGUUAAUCGGAUUUACUGGGCGUAAAGCGUGCGUAGGUGGCCAAUUAAGUCAAAUGUGAAAUCCCCGAGCUUAACUUGGGAAUUGCAUUCGAUACUGGUUGGCUAGAGUAUGGGAGAGGAUGGUAGAAUUCCAGGUGUAGCGGUGAAAUGCGUAGAGAUCUGGAGGAAUACCGAUGGCGAAGGCAGCCAUCUGGCCUAAUACUGACACUGAGGUACGAAAGCAUGGGGAGCAAACAGGAUUAGAUACCCUGGUAGUCCAUGCCGUAAACGAUGUCUACUAGCCGUUGGGGUCUUUGAGACUUUAGUGGCGCAGCUAACGCGAUAAGUAGACCGCCUGGGGAGUACGGUCGCAAGACUAAAACUCAAAUGAAUUGACGGGGGCCCGCACAAGCGGUGGAGCAUGUGGUUUAUUCGAUGCACGCGAGACCUUACCUGGUCUUGACAUAGUAAGAACUUUCCAGGAGAUGGAUUGGUGCCUUCGGGAACUUAAAAAACAGGUGCUGCAUGGCUGUC
RNAcentral lists this ribosomal RNA (1049 nucleotides) under uncultured bacterium. RNAcentral's name for it is "bacterial SSU rRNA". It matches the Rfam family "Bacterial small subunit ribosomal RNA", at positions 8 to 1053 of the family's 1533-position model. The record is from RNAcentral.